This 253-nucleotide ribosomal RNA is filed under the name uncultured bacterium. RNAcentral's name for it is "partial 16S ribosomal RNA". It matches the Rfam family "Bacterial small subunit ribosomal RNA", at positions 524 to 776 of the family's 1533-position model. The record is from RNAcentral.
UACGUAGGAGACGAGCGUUGUCCGGAGUUACUGGGCGUAAAGGGUGCGCAGGUGGCCGCGCGCGUGGGGGGUGAAAUCGCCUGGCUUAACUGGGCGGGGGCCUUCCAGACGGCGUGGCUUGAGCAGCGGAGGGGGGCGUGGAAUUCCGGGUGGAGCGGUGAAAUGCGUAGAGAUCCGGAGGAACACCGACGGCGCAGGCAGCGCCCUGGUCGCUUGCUGACACUGAGGCACGAAAGCUGGGGGAGCAAACAGG